GUUUCACUAUAAAUACUUUUUAGCUACUAUAACUUAAGUUUUUGGGAAAAACAGUUAUUAUAUAUCUGAAAUGGUUGCAGUCACCACAUAAUUAAUAUCUGUAUUGUCAAAAAUGUACAGUAUAGUCAAAGGGG
This is a long non-coding RNA of Sinocyclocheilus rhinocerous, 134 nucleotides long. RefSeq lists it as uncharacterized. The record is from RefSeq and is a predicted model, not a curated record. The transcript has 3 exons. Lineage: Eukaryota; Metazoa; Chordata; Actinopteri; Cypriniformes; Cyprinidae.